This is an RNA transcript of Strigops habroptila (Kakapo), 5845 nucleotides long. It is a transcript of the gene named TRAF family member associated NFKB activator, with no coding region annotated. The record is from RefSeq and is a predicted model, not a curated record. Lineage: Eukaryota; Metazoa; Chordata; Aves; Psittaciformes; Psittacidae. The transcript has 10 exons.
CCGCCACAGGGCGGGGAGUGGCACAACAGGAAGUCGGUUCUGGUUCCUGGGUUAAGGUGCUAAGGCAGGCGCGAGCGGCCGAGGGCUCCGUGCGGCGGUCGUUUCCAGUUCCAGAGAUGAUGGCAGUGUAACUUACAAAAUAUUUCCGUCGAAGAAGCUGUUUUGAAAGCAGAAAUAUGUAGAGAAGUACUUGCUUCUGGAUGGCAUCUGUGUUCUCAUGUGAACCUAUGAGAGGUCUGUGAACUUGACCACCUUUUCAGUGAUGAAAGAACAUUGGGAAUUAUGGACAAAAUUGGAGAGCAGCUUAAUAAAGCUUAUGAAGCCUAUCGACAAGUAUGCAUGGAUAGGGACCAUGCUGUGAAAGAACUACAGCAGAAAACAGAAAACUACAUGCAGCAAAUACGUGAACAGCAGGAAAAGAUAGAGCUUCAAAACAACAUUAUUGCAAAACUGAAAUCACAGUUAGCUGCUCUGAAUGCUAAUAGAGGUAAUGUGCAUCCUUACGUUCUGAUGCCUGAAGACAUUGAAACCUCCAACUUAUCUUUCAGCCAGCUCUCUGAAAAACUGAACAUAGCAAAGCAAAGAGAAAAACUCUUGAAGGAACAGUUAGAAAGUGAGAGCAUGAAAUUGAAGCAACUUGAGGACAAAAAUAAUCAAAAGGAAAGGAAGCUGAUCUCUAUUAUUUCCAACCAAGAAGAUAAAAUAAGAAGUCUGAAAAGCAAAUUGAAAGAAUUAAAUGAAGCACAAAAGGGUAUACAGAUGCCAGCAUAUAAAAGGGAGGUGAAAAGUAAGAAAGUUGUUCCAGAUAAGCCUGAAUUAUCUCUAGGGAUCUCUGGUAUUUCACCUAUGUCUGAAAGGUAAAUGCUUUUGCAGCACUAUUUUUGAAAUUUGCUUUUAUUUGUCUUUUCUGCUGUUAAAUAAGACCAGCUAUUUCCCUAUUUUCUACAUAGCACCUUAAAAAAUGAAUGGGGGGGUGGGGCGGGGGAGGAGCAGAGGUCAAAGAGCCAGUGUGGGAAGGUGUUAAAGCCAGCAACUAUACGGAAUCAUAGCUGGGGCUUUGCAAGUAUGUAGGGAUAAGUUGAGAGGAAGAAAAAUAGCCACUUGGUUCAGCAGGAGGUUAAACUCUGUGGGAAACAGCAGUGGAUGUUAAUGCUGGGUUUUGGAUAAGCAUUAACUCUCUUCAGAACAGGAAUGUACAACCAUAACGGAUUAACUGAUGGCAGCACAGCAGAGGAGCCUGCUGCACUACCAGGAGGAGGUCUGAUAGUCAGCAUGAAGAAAUAAUUCUUGGCCUGAGCCAUCCUAAGUGAGAGAGUUUGAAAUCAGGUUUAUCUGUCAGCUGAAGCCAGCCAGCCCUUGCUAUGACCAAGGGACCAAAAGCAGUGUAUUUCCUAAGCCAGUAUUCCUCUUCUGUCUGUGUUUUGGGAAAAGUAUUGACCAAAGUCUUAGGUUUGCAUUUUUCAUGGGAUAGGCAGUAAUACCACUUUUCACAAUUUUGCUGAGGUCAAAUAGAAGAUUCUUUAAGGAGAGGCUAGGAGAGUAUUAGGGAAAAAUAUCACCAGUUCUUGAUGUCGUCUUAUACUCUUGCCUAGGCAUCUGCUUUUGGCCACUCCCGACAUAGGCUAGGUGAACUACAUGGAUCUUUAGUCUGAGUCACUACUGCUUUAUGAUAAGAAAGAGAAGCAAUAAGAUUGUGAUGUGAUAAAGACUUUUUUGUCCUUAAAGACUUUUUGUCUUCAUACUGAUUUAUAUCUAAAAAAUAAAAAACCUUCACCUGUCUUCUGUCUCCCUGCUCUCCAGUAGCUCCCUUACUUUACUGUUUUCUUGGAAAGAGGUAUGUGAUUGGUAAGAUUACUGGUAAUCUUACACUAGUAAGAUUAUCACAAAAGUCUAGCAAAUUAAGAUUGAUUCAUCUAAUCGUAUGUAUAUUUUAAAGCUCUGAUUAGAAACUUGUGACAAGAAUCUUUUUUAAUUCCUUAUUUAUCAAACACCUGAAAAAUGGUCAGAAUGUAAGUGGUAACAGCAGCAACUUUAACUACUGUAGAUUUGGGGUUUUUUCAAAUGAGUUACAAACAGACAUUAUCUUCAGAAAGAGAAACACAACAGAAGUAGGAACGCAGCUCAUGACACUCCUGAUUACUAUAUGAAUAAGCAAUAAAGAGGAAAACAAUUCACUGGAUCAAAGAAAAACCGCUUUUGAGCUCUUCUGAUACAAAGAUGCAAAAGAGAACUCAAAUCCAACUUCACUUUUUCAUCCUUGAAGUUCAUUUCAUAACAUCCAUUACGUUGUGCUUAGAAAUAUAAAUCACUCAGCAAGUUUAUCAAAAUUUUUCAAUGGAAUUUUAUGUAUGCAUCAAUAACUGAAUAACCUAGUGCCUUUGGGCAAAUAAAACUCACACUAGCAUGAAGAACUAUUUUUCUGUUCUCAGUGCAAAUGACUAAAUUUCAGAUGUCCAUAUGAUACUCUGGAAAAGAUAUAAUAAAAAAAAUCCCUCAAAAUAAAAGGGAAAGUCAUGUGAUAUUGCAUAAAAUAGAGAAGUAGUGAGUUCACAAGUCCCUCUUCAAAACUUCAGGUAGACAGAGAAGGAAGGAGCAGUAAUAAAUGCUUGUGUAUUCCUUCUCCUGCAAAGUCUGAAGUGCACAGAAAAGAAUGGAAAAUAAUUAAUGUUUGCAGAAGCAUCAGCAUCUUAUUUUCCCUGUAAUGAGAUGGAAACAGUUGGAAACAGUACCCUUGUGAAAGAUAAGCUGUUCCACAAAAUACCUGAGAGAACUGAAAGAAAUGUAAAGGCUAGAUUUUCUGGGGGGGUUCCUUCCAGGGUCAGGCCCUAAGCUCAAAUGUAUGUGCGUGAUAUGACUAAACAGCUCUUUGACAAGAUUUUCUUUUCCCUUUUCUGCUUGCUUUCACUGAGGAGAACAAAAAUAUGUAUACAUAUGUCGAGGAACAAGGGAGAAUGUGGAGACAAUUUUCCAGGACAUGAAAGAAGAGUGUUAUCGAAUACGUAUGCUAGCCAGAGAACAAACAGACCAACUGAGUAAAUUUAAGAUAAAGCCAGAACCUGAAACUGAAAUACAGUUUUCCAUGCCGAUACAGUGUACUGAUAAAACUGAUGAACAAGCAGAAGAGCUUUUUAAGCCUCGGGUUAUAAAGGAUAUAAAUAGAGGUGCAUCAUGCAUCACAUCUAUCACACCAAGAGGAGUGGGCCAAGAUGAGGACAACUCCUCUAUAGAAUCACUUUCUAAAUUUAAUGUCAAGCUUCCACCUACAGACAAUGACUCUGCUUUCUUGCAGAGCACUCAGGAAAAACCAGCAAUUCCUUGUACUGGUAUAGCUGAAAACAUGCUUCAAGAUCAUCAUUUUAACCUGGAGCUUAGAGACUGUGCUGUUAACCUCAGUAAAUUGGAACCUAACUCAUUUGAAGCUCAUGGAGUUGAUCUCAUGACCUCAGCUUUACAAAGUUUAACUACUGUUGACAAAACAAAUCCCCCAGAUCAUGCAAACAUGUCCAUAGAAAAUACCCAUGACAAAACAUGUUUAAAAACAACAGACACUGGUUUCACAUUUGUACCUAAGCACGCAAACCAGGAUGUACCUGAAGUAAUUUUUUCAUCUUUAGAAGCUGCUGGGACAAUCGUCAGAGGUCCUCAUCAGCUCAUUUGGCAGCCUGAAGACAAUGAUUUGCUGGCACAAGCUUAUACAGACUCUGAACUGAAUCAGUGUGGAAUAUGUGAAUUCUGUCGAGAAGUUUUCCCACCAUCCAUGACAUCUAAGAAAGAUUUUCUUCGGCAUCUGAAUUCCCACUUUAAAGUACAGUCUUAAUGUAUGAGAAUUCAAUGGUUCACUGUUUUGCAUACAUUUUGAUUUUUUGUAUUCAAUAGAUAUGCUAAGAAUUGAAGAAUUAAGACUUCUUGUAACAAGAACUCAUGACUGAAACUGUGUGUCAGAUAAGCAAGUUUUUAAUUGUCCUUUGACAAGGUAACAUGAAACUGUAAGUCACUCAGUACUGUAAUUCACAUUAUUGCUUGUUAUGCUUCAAGAGUGAUGUUAAACACCUUUUUCUUUUUUUGCUUUUUUCUUUCCUUUUUCCUUUUUUUUUUUCCUUUUAAUUUAUGAGCGUAGACUUGCAGAAUUAAUGCCUUAAUCUGGCUGGGGAAACUGGUGUAAUGCUAGGAUUUUUUUCUCGCUAUCCAGUGAUGUGAUUAUGUUCUCCUUGAAGUAAACAGGAAGAGAAGUAGACUCUUGUUUUUCAUUUCUCUUACAAAAGUUCCAAAUUUAACUUACAGUAGUGAACCUCUUAAUCGAGAUUCUUGUAAAAUCAUCACAGUAACUGAAUGCCAGGUAUGUCAAAAUUAGGGUAGGCUUGUUCACUAGUAAUAUAAAUGAAUGGUUGACUUUCCCCGAUGAAUCGUUUACUAGAGAGAGUAAUCAAACACAGCACGUAAAUUACCCGUUUGCCAAAAUGUAUCAGUAGCAAUUUUAUGGAUAUCUGUUACAUGUUAUAAAAAAAAAAAUUAUUAUUUUGUGUACCUUUCUAGCAUUAAUGAUUUGUAAAAAUACUCCCACGGAAAAAGUUAUAUUGCUAUGAGAGAUAAAGUGAGAAAGGAUUAAACUUUCCCUAAAACUAAGAAUACCAAAGAUUAUUUACCUUUCCUUCUGGUCUGCUAUGCAGGAUUGCUGAAGUCUGUUACAGCCUAGAAAGAAAAACCUAAUCACCGAAAUCUCAGUGACUUCAUUUUUAACCAGAAUAAGCUUAGUGGCCUUCUCAAUGCAAUUUAAAUUUGUGUUUAAUUGAAACAUUGUAUUCUGAUAAAGUUUGCACAUUUUCUGGAUUUAUUAGGAUCAAAUUAAAAAGGGGGGGUACUAAGUCAUUUAAUUUAAUCAUAGCAACUAGGAGCUUUUUGCAUUUGAACUGUGUAUAGGUUUUAGUCCUGAUAUUUGGUAAUUAGCAUUAAUAUUUUCAUAGCAGCAAAGCACAGCGGUUUCUCUUUUUAAAGAUUUGUUUGCAGGUGACACUUUUUUGGAGGAAUUAACACCUGCACAUUUUUAGAAAUUGAUUUUUCUACAAUUAUUUCCUCUAUUUUAAACAUCUAAUGUUUGUGACUGGCUGUCAACAGAGUGUACUGUAAUAAACAGCAGUGCGCAGUGCAUGUCUGCUCCAUGACCUGGAGAAAGAGUUUGUUACUAUUAACAGCUCUAAACCCCCGGCGGUAUCCAGCGCAGAGGAGGAUACGUUCAUCCCCGGGCUCGCCGUGCGGCGUGUGAAGUACCUCCCAGGCGAGCGCGGCUGGGGGUGGUUCCUGGGAGAGACAGAAGUUCCAGGAUUGGGAGGAGAGAUGGGGAUUCGCACAUCUCCAGCCAGCCCGACACAAAACCGACUUGUCGUCUCAACCGUGAAAUUAGAGCUCAGGAGCUCACGUUAUUAAGAACUGAACAAACUGCGAAUCACCUUUGAAGAAAAUAAAGUCAUCUCUGUGUAUCCGUCCCCGUCGUGUCCCCCCUCCCCGCUGUGCGCGGACGCUGUUCGGCUGGCGCGGAGGGAGCCCCGCGCGGGACCGCGGGUCUUUGUUGCUGGAGGCGGCCUGAGCUCCGCGCUGCCUGCAGAGCCAUCCCCCGCCCCUGCGGCCGGGGUAAGGGCGGGUGGGCGACACGACGACACAGACGCCGUUGCAGAACCUAUAUCUCUCCUGCUAUGAGAGCUCCUGCCUAGUGCGGCGUCUUAGGAAGCUGUUUAAUUCUGCGUGCUUAAAACUAUUGCUGCCUGAGGGUGUCCGGUUAUGCUCGCCCAUCAAACCACUGCGAGGGGCACCACUCUGGUUUAAAAAUAAAUAAAUAACUAAAUAAAUAUCA